UACAGAGGGUGCGAGCGUUGUUCGGAAUUAUUGGGCGUAAAGGGCGCGUAGGCGGUGCGGUAAGUCACCUGUGAAAUCUCCUGGCUCAACUGGGAGCUUGCAGGCGAAACUGCCGUGCUGGAGUGUGGGAGAGGUGCGUGGAAUUCCCGGUGUAGCGGUGAAAUGCGCAGAUAUCAGGAGGAACACCGGUGGCGAAGGCGGGUCUCUGGGCAGUAACUGACGCUGAGGAACGAAAGCGUGGGUAGCGAACAGG
This 253-nucleotide ribosomal RNA is filed under the name uncultured bacterium. RNAcentral describes it as "partial 16S ribosomal RNA". It matches the Rfam family "Bacterial small subunit ribosomal RNA", at positions 524 to 776 of the family's 1533-position model. The record is from RNAcentral.